AGUGCGUCUGUUCAUCUGUCUGUGCGUCCAACACGCGCUGAACUCUUAGUCAUUUUUUGGGAUGUGCCGAUUUCGCCUGACAGCUGCUCAAUCAAAUCAAAUCAAGUCAAAUCAAAUAUUUGGGCUAUCUAAACACAAAACCUUUUUGACAUUCACCCCCGGCAUUCGGCAUGCGAUGGGAUCGGAUCUGUGCAUCUGUGAUGUCUAAAUUUGCAAAAAAUAUAAAAUAAAGAAAGAGAAAAAAUCAAAGUCAAUUACGUGCGCUGUCAAUCAAUGGCAGGAAUCGAAAUCGAAAUCGAAUAUCGAGAUGAAGAUCCGAAUAGGUUCAAGAAGAAAGAAGA
This is a long non-coding RNA of Drosophila innubila, 341 nucleotides long. RefSeq lists it as uncharacterized. The record is from RefSeq and is a predicted model, not a curated record. The transcript has 2 exons. Lineage: Eukaryota; Metazoa; Arthropoda; Insecta; Diptera; Drosophilidae.